AUGUUGGUCCUCAUCAACGACCAACUCUACAAGAUCAGACUGGUCAAGUUCGAGCGAGUCGCUCGUGCCCUUGCCAACAAGGGUAAGGGCUGGAGCGUGCGGGUCGAAGUCCGCGCCCGACCGUCACCGCCCGUUGGACGCGGUCGAUUGUCUGCGCGAGACGGAGCGGUUGCGUCACGAUCGAUCAGGGCUGCCGCGACUCCUGAGAGGUUUUUCGCCACUAGAAGGACGAUGAUGAUGGAUUGGCCGGUGAUGGAGGUGUUGAUGGCCUCGGAGCCCAUCCCGCGAGGUCACUGUCUGGUGGUCCCCACUGUCCAGCAAGCCCCACACAGCCCCUCUUCUUGCAUCACGCGUUGUCUGGCUGACUGCAGGGUCUCGCAUCACUCGAUGAACGUCAUCGGUGACAUCGACCUCAGUGACACAAGACGGCUCCGGGAGUUCUCUCGCUGA
RNAcentral lists this ribosomal RNA (450 nucleotides) under Triticum aestivum (bread wheat). RNAcentral describes it as "partial small subunit ribosomal RNA". Lineage: Eukaryota; Viridiplantae; Streptophyta; Magnoliopsida; Poales; Poaceae. The record is from RNAcentral.